UACAGAGGGCGCGAGCGUUGUCCGGAAUCACUGGGCGUAAAGGGCGCGUAGGUGGCCACUAUAAGGCCGCGGUGAAAGUUCGGGGCUCAACCCUGAAUCUGCCGCGGCGACUGUAGGGCUUGGGCACUGUAGAGGCAGAUGGAAUUCCGGGUGUAGCGGUGGAAUGCGUAGAUAUCGGGAGGAACACCAGUGGCGAAGGCGGCGAUCUGGGUCGAUACUGACGCUGAGGUGCGAAAGCGUGGGGAGCAAACAGG
This 254-nucleotide ribosomal RNA is filed under the name uncultured bacterium. RNAcentral describes it as "partial 16S ribosomal RNA". It matches the Rfam family "Bacterial small subunit ribosomal RNA", at positions 524 to 776 of the family's 1533-position model. The record is from RNAcentral.